This is a long non-coding RNA of Passer domesticus (house sparrow), 1103 nucleotides long. RefSeq lists it as uncharacterized. NCBI's taxonomy places the organism in Eukaryota, Metazoa, Chordata, Aves, Passeriformes, Passeridae. The record is from RefSeq and is a predicted model, not a curated record. The transcript has 3 exons.
CAGCAACAGAACAGCUCAGCUGAGCCAGCUUGCAGCUGUAUGAAUGGGGUUUUAGAGUCACAGAGGGGGUGGGUUUAGUGGUAAUUCCUCAGGAUUGGGUUACAGCCUCUGCAACUUCAGUCACCCCAGGGGUUCUCAAAUCCACAAAUGCCAUUUCGAUGCAGGCUUACCAGAGUAGGCAAACACACAUUACAAAACCUUGUAAGGUGGCUCAUUCUGCUGGCAGAUAUUCAAGUAGGUCUCCAGAGCAGACACCUCAAGCCCAGGCAGCUGCCACCUCUAAGGCUUGGACCUCAUUUUUUUCCCUGAAGGUUGCCAUUCUCUUAGGCACAUACACAACAUCACUCAGAAGAUCAUGAAAAAUGUACUCGAGAAAAGUUUGCCAUUGAAAGAGGAAAGCUGUUAGAACCACCUGAUAUGUCAAGCACAACAGAAAUGAACUACAUCUAUGAAGGAGAACUCAUAGGAGACACACAUUCAGUUUCAACACAGACUGGAGAGUCAUUAGACUUCAGCAGAGAUCCUGUUUUGGAAAUGAAGAUGUCUGUGUGGGUGUAAGAUUAAAUGUUCUCCCAUCUUUCAAAUGACUCAGUGUCUGAAAGACCCAAAUGCAAUAUUUUGGUUGAAAUGGUGCUUAAUCCAAGCCCAGCCAUAAUUUUAAGCAUUCAUAAAGAUCUGCAAAAGGACAAAGCCUGCUAUCUGUCAUUCUACUGACUUAGGUGAUUUUACAUCCCUUCUGUUCAGUGCUUGGUUCCCUUGGCCGUGUCGUCAAGAUUAAGCAAAACAGCACAGACAGCAGGAUUUUAUAAUAUCCUUGACAUGGCUGCUACUACCUUUAGUUAUUGUUGGAAAGCUAUUUGUCUGAAUCCUCAAUCUGUUUAGCAAAUGACAAAAACAUGAAGCUGGUAAAAGGAGAGCAGAAGGAAAUUUUCUGCAAAGAGCGUGAAUUGUGGUUACGGGGUGCUGCUGGUGUAUUCAGAAUUUGAAGUACUAUGUGGGAUUACACGUGGGCAUGGGUCUACAAGACUCUUUAUUCAGUUAUAAGGUGCCUUGUAUCAGAGCAAGAAUUGCAACAGGCACACAGUAUAAAGAAGCAGGUAAAA